CUACGGGAGGCACCAGUCGGGAAAAUUUUGCAAUGCUCGAAAGAGUGACAAAGUAAGCUGGAGUGUUUCUCGUUAGAGAGACUUUUGUCUACUGUAAAAAAGUAGAUGAAUAAGGACCGGGCAAGACUGGUGCCAGCCGCCGCGGUAAUACCAGCGGUCCGAGUCGCAGCCACAUUUAUUGGGUCUAAAACAUCCGUAGCCGGCUUUGUAAGUUUCUUGUGAAAUCCUGUCUCUUAAGGAUAGGGCGUGCAAGAAAUACUGCAUUGCUAGAGACCGGAAGACGUAAGGAGUACGACCAAGGUAGUGGUAAAAUACGUUGAUCUUGGUCGGACUAACAAGAGCGAAGGCACCUUACGAGGACGGAUCUGACGGUGAGGGAUGAAGGCUAGGGGCGCAAAAUGGAUUAGAUACCCGCGUAGUC
RNAcentral lists this ribosomal RNA (421 nucleotides) under uncultured archaeon. RNAcentral's name for it is "partial 16S ribosomal RNA". It matches the Rfam family "Archaeal small subunit ribosomal RNA", at positions 323 to 746 of the family's 1478-position model. The record is from RNAcentral.